ACGGGUGAGUAAUGUCUGGGGAUCUGCCCGAUAGAGGGGGAUAACCACUGGAAACGGUGGCUAAUACCGCAUAACGUCGCAAGACCAAAGAGGGGGACCUUCGGGCCUCUCACUAUCGGAUGAACCCAGAUGGGAUUAGCUAGUAGGCGGGGUAACGGCCCACCUAGGCGACGAUCCCUAGCUGGUCUGAGAGGAUGACCAGCCACACUGGAACUGAGACACGGUCCAGACUCCUACGGGAGGCAGCAGUGGGGAAUAUUGCACAAUGGGCGCAAGCCUGAUGCAGCCAUGCCGCGUGUAUGAAGAAGGCCUUCGGGUUGUAAAGUACUUUCAGCGGGGAGGAAGGCAGUGAGGUUAAUAACCUUACUGAUUGACGUUACCCGCAGAAGAAGCACCGGCUAACUCCGUGCCAGCAGCCGCGGUAAUACGGAGGGUGCAAGCGUUAAUCGGAAUUACUGGGCGUAAAGCGCACGCAGGCGGUCUGUUAAGUCAGAUGUGAAAUCCCCGGGCUUAACCUGGGAACUGCAUUUGAAACUGGCAGGCUUGAGUCUCGUAGAGGGGGGUAGAAUUCCAGGUG
RNAcentral lists this ribosomal RNA (577 nucleotides) under uncultured bacterium. RNAcentral describes it as "bacterial SSU rRNA". It matches the Rfam family "Bacterial small subunit ribosomal RNA", at positions 102 to 675 of the family's 1533-position model. The record is from RNAcentral.